This 67-nucleotide transfer RNA is filed under the name Pterospora andromedea. RNAcentral's name for it is "tRNA-Leu". It matches the Rfam family "tRNA", at positions 7 to 63 of the family's 71-position model. From Rfam's summary of the family: Transfer RNA (tRNA) molecules are approximately 80 nucleotides in length. The record is from RNAcentral. Lineage: Eukaryota; Viridiplantae; Streptophyta; Magnoliopsida; Ericales; Ericaceae.
GUGGUGGAAUGGUAGACACACUAGACUCAAAAUCUUGUGCUAAAGAGCAUGGAGGUUCGAAUCCUCU